Molecule: ribosomal RNA, 496 nt
Filed under: uncultured bacterium
Lineage: Bacteria
Description: partial 16S ribosomal RNA
Rfam family: Bacterial small subunit ribosomal RNA
Source: RNAcentral
GAUGAACGCUGGCGGCGUGCCUAAUACAUGCAAGUCGAGCGAACAGACGAGGAGCUUGCUCCUCUGACGUUAGCGGUGGACGGGUGAGUAACACGUGGAUAACCUACCUAUAAGACUGGGAUAACUUCGGGAAACCGGAGCUAAUACCGGAUAACAUGUUGAACCGCAUGGUUCAACAGUGAAAGACGGUCUUGCUGUCACUUAUAGAUGGAUCCGCGCCGCAUUAGUUAGUUGGUAGGGUAACGGCUUACCAAGGCAACGAUGGGUAGCCGACCUGAGAGGGGGACCGGCCACACUGGAACUGAGACACGGCCCAGACUCCUACGGGAGGCAGCAGUGGGGAAUUUUGGACAAUGGGCGAAAGCCUGAUGGAGCCAUGCCGCGUGAAGGAAGAAGGCCUUCGGGUUGUAAACUUCUUUUGUAAGGAAAGAAAAGAUGUGGAUUAAUACACUGGGGUCAUGACGGUACCGAAGAAUAAGCCCCGGCUAACUACGUG